Molecule: long non-coding RNA, 2772 nt
Organism: Gallus gallus (chicken)
Lineage: Eukaryota; Metazoa; Chordata; Aves; Galliformes; Phasianidae
Exons: 3
Source: RefSeq, a predicted model, not a curated record
GUUAAAUUAAAAAGUUGUGACUUUUUUAUUCAUUUUGCCAGAAUGCAGCUCACACGCAAGUAUGGCAUUUUUAAGAGAUUUUUUCCAGACUUCAGUACAUGCUCAGAAAGAAAAAAGGACAACCCAGAGUAGAUGGGAAACAAUCUGCCAAAACAAUGAUUACAUGGUGUCUUUUCAUGCAAGAGAAAAUGAAGGGUUUAGAUUUCUAGGGCAAAGAAAGAAAACAUACAUUUGUGCAGUUUCUCAGCUGCUUUAAAUAGAUUCAGCUUCACUCGGUAGCACAAGCAGGGCCCGCAUUUCAUUUCAUUUCAUUUCAUUUCAUUUCAUUAUUCAUGUUACAGUGGCACUAUGCAGACAGAAUACAGAGGUAGAAGAUGUGCAGUUAUGGGGGACCUUGUCUCACAGCUUCUCACAGACCACAAAGGCUAUCCAUGACUGAGCAGAGAGGCAGCAAGAGGCACUUGGUGCCAGUGUUGUAAAACAGUGAAAAUUUACACAUCACCGAGCUCUGGUGAGCAUUCGGAGGUCACUGCGGAGGGGAAGGGUGGAAGCAGCAAUCAACAUAAGCAUGAAAGCACUGGGCUAUGAUUCUUUAAGUAGCAAAAUUCUGGAUGAAUUUUCUUUAGACACCACUUUCAGUGUUAAGAUCUCCAGAGCCCCUGAGGCUGUACCUCUGUACGUGCACAGAACAGGCCUCCUCCAUGCAUGUCCAGAGCUGCCUCUGUCCUGACAGCAGCAAGCAGCUCCAAGCCAGUGACUCCUGAGCUUUUCCUGUACUGUGGCUCAGUUUCAGUGGGGUGGUGGGGUGGGUGGAAAGUUUUAUUGCUACCCUGCUGGCUGAUACGACGGAUGAUCUUCUGAGAGCAGUGGGUUUUAGCUCCUCAGGCUACAAAGAAGUUGUCAUCUGUGGAAGGCCAUAUCGACCAUGUUCAAGCAGAGAAGUGGAUACACAAGGACUGCUACAACAGGAAGAACCAGAAACAUGGCACAAAAGACUGAAGAUAACCUGCAGCAGAAGGAGGAGUGUUUGGCACUGCAGCACAGGAAUGACCUGAUGAUAAGGCACUUGGCUGACAAGUCACUUUUCUGUAAAUCAGAUCAAAAUAGCACUGAAUUCAGUGAGGGUCUUCCUAUCAGUCUAAGACAGCUUGGAUCAGGCCUGUCGUACACAUCUGGAUGCAGUUUGUUCAUAUCUGCUUGGGCUAUCCCACCUUUUAUCCAGUAUCACCUUUUGAAGUGGUUAAGGAAAGUAUAAAUCUUACAUUUAAUGCUCUUCUCUUUGAUUAUUCUUUGACAAUAACGAGAUUAAUAUGUGACUUUCUCAUCUGUGUUAUUUAUUCUCACAGUAAAUUUAGGUUCAGAUUUUUUUUCCCUGUUGUCAGUAUACUAACCUCAAAAAAUGUGCAAUACUGAAUGUACAAGUUGUCUUUGUUUUGUUUUAAGUAGAACUGCACAUUUUUUGCAUGGGCUUGACAUACUAGCUCACGAUAUGUUUUACCACUACUGUUUUAGUAGAAAAGUUGCCAUUAACUGUGAAGAGUAAUAUCUUGGAGAACUUCUCUCCAUAACUGAUACAGAGAAUUCUAGCAGAAAAAUCUAAUUUGAAAUGUUUCCAACUAUUAUAGGAGAAGUUAGGCUGUAUUUGGUAAAUUCCAAUGUUUCAUUUCUUCACUGUAUCACAUAGAAAAUCAAACAAUUAUUAAAAACAAACAAAAAAAAACCCCUCCAUCUAUAUUCAUAGUCUAUGAGAAAUUUUUGUUCUCGGUAGUGCACAGUUAUAGGUUACAAGAGGAGCAGAAGUUAUGUGCUUUAAAUGAUUGGAAAUUCCUUAGAUUUCAAAGCUGGAACCACUUAGAAGUGGCUACUCAAAUGUGUCAUGGGAGAGAUAAUAACUUCACUCUUUUCCUUAAAAAUACGUCCAUAAAUAAUAUCAAAACACUUUUAUUUCAUUGAAAUAUAACCUGUUUCUGUAAUGUUAGCUUUACUUAGGAAACAAUUUACUGAAGAAUUCGCAAGCCCUAUUUUCAGUUUUUACACAAAUGGUUUUGAGUACAUCUUGAAAUAAGGUACAAUUUCAUCUUUAUGUAGAAGAUUUAAAUAACAAUCACAAUGGCAUCAAUUUAUAUUAUUGUAUUUCCAAUGCAAUAUUGACUUGUUUUUUGAGGCAGACAUUGCAUAUAAUUAUGUAUUAUUCUUUGAUAGUACAUACUAGUAAAGAAUUUUCAAGAGUGUAUAGACUUGGCAUGCUAAAAAAGAACAUUUCGAACAUGAUUGCUUUGAAUUGGAAGCAUUUCAAAUCUUGAGGUUUUUCUAUAUUUGCAAGAAAAAAUUAGAAGCAGUUCUUCACAAAAACGUUGGUUUGACAGUAGACAUGUUCUUACCUGUAAGAAAACUAGAUUGUUUUUGCAAUAUGCUAGUCAUCCGUCUAGAAUUGUUGUGAAACAGAAUUGUUCUAAGUGCUCCCACAUCAUUUUUUCCCUGCACUUUUGGAAGUAAUUUGGCUGUGUACAGUAAGUUGCAAUCUAUUUUAUUUAAAGCUACAUAAAGAAAGAACUUUUGUAAUUAGAAAAGCUUUUAUUUAUUGUAAAUCAAGGCUGCUGUCUUUGGUACACUAAAUAAUUGUCCAAUACAUGUCACACUAAUAUGACAACUUCAAUCUUUAUUAUUUUUGUACUGUAAGAAUAGAAGUAAAUGCAAUUUCUUUGCAGCAUCAAAUUUAUUCCUUGAUUUUGUAUCUCUUACUUACAAAUAAAUUACACAGGAGUUGCUGUU